Nematostella vectensis (starlet sea anemone) is the source of this 621-nucleotide long non-coding RNA. RefSeq lists it as uncharacterized. The record is from RefSeq and is a predicted model, not a curated record. The transcript has 2 exons. Lineage: Eukaryota; Metazoa; Cnidaria; Anthozoa; Actiniaria; Edwardsiidae.
UGAAGAAGUGAGCCUGCAGAUAUUUGUUAUUAAAUUCCAUAUUUCGGUAAAAGUUAUACUGAGAAUCAUCCCUGGGGGGAAACGGGUGACUCCCGCUGGAAAAGUCACAUGUUCUCGUAGAGAAAAUUAAUUUUUACUCUAAGGGAUAACAGUGUGUGUGGCCUGCAUAGACUUCUACCACUAGAGCAUAGCAAAAUCGCGUGGGUGUGGGCGUGGGAUAACUUAAUAUUAUUAAAUUAGCAUUUAUAACAGGCGAAUUAUAACAUAAUUAUAACUGGAUUGUAUUCACAGUGUUGUAAAAAGAUAUCAAGCACGCCUCUUUCGUAACGAAUUUGAAGGGGGUUGCAAUUCAUUUUUUUAUAGGUAUCAAAAAAUAAAGGCAAAGUUUUGUAUUUUAUGGGUCAGGCCUAAGGGAGAGCAGGUUUUCUAGAAGAUCCUAAGGGAGAGCAGGUUUUCUAGAAGGCCCUAAGGAAGAGCAGGUUUUCUAGAAGAUCCUAAGAAAGAGCAGGUUUUCUAGAAGACCAUAGCACUUGGGGCAAAUUUAACACCCUAAGGGAAGUAACCCGGGCGAUAAUUUGACUUAGUAGGCUGUCGUUGAUCAGUACUGUACUCACACAAAAA